Molecule: long non-coding RNA, 4359 nt
Organism: Balaenoptera acutorostrata (minke whale)
Lineage: Eukaryota; Metazoa; Chordata; Mammalia; Artiodactyla; Balaenopteridae
Exons: 3
Source: RefSeq, a predicted model, not a curated record
AUGCUUCACUCGGCAACCAGCGAGCAUCCACUGCGGGCAGGCACUGCGCUCCGGGCUGCGGGUGCAGCAGGGCGCGGACCGGGGCGGGCUUGGGAGGGGGCGACGUGGGAGGAGACAAGGGCGGGCACCUGGCGUGGCGCGCGCCAGGCCCGCGGCGCACUCGCAGCUCUCUCGGCGCACGGCGGCGAAGGGGUCAAGCAGCGUGCAGCGCAGCACGCGCACCGCGUCGUCCAGGUGGCUACUGUGACCCUCACCUCUCCUGCAUGCCCGGGUCGGACCAGUUCCGUCGGAUACGGUGACGUGGAGAGGGCACCUGGUCUCUCCGGCUCGGGUCUUGGUCUAGUGGGUGACACGUUAAUCAGCGUGCAGUUACCGUGGUCCUGAGGGAUGAAGGCCAAGGAACUUGGCGUAGACUGGAAGGCUUCCUGGAGGAGGUGACAGCCCCAGCGUAAUAUAGGGGAAAGGGGAAACUGGAGACAGACAAGAACACAGGGAGAACGAUGUGAACACGGAUGGCCAUCUGCAAGCUCAGGAGAGUGGCCUGGAACAGACUCACUCCCUCAACGGCUCUCGGGGGAAGCAGCCUCUGACACCAUGAUCUUGGACUUCUGGAUUCCAGAACAGUGGGGAGAUAAAUUUGUGUUGUUUAAGCCACCAGGUUUAUGGUACUUGUUUGGGCAGCCCCAGGAACAAAUACGGGGAGGGGGCCUGACACUGUUCCGGGAAAUGAAGAAAAGUGCCCUGUGGCCAGAGCCCAGGGGCCCAGGGGGAGCAGGGUCCUCUGGGUGGCUCCACUGGGUCCCAGUGGGGGAUGCAAGGGGGGAUUUAAGGUGGGAGAGUUUCACGUAAGGUUUGUGUUUUUAGAAAACUGCUUUGGCUGUUGCAGAACAGGUUAGCAGGGAGCCAGGCAGUCGCCACAUGAGGCCGUUGCGAAGGCCGUGCUCUGGCUGAGAUGAGCGAGUAAGCACUUAAAUGGGGUGGUGGACUUCCUGCCCCAGAAGUUGCUGCAGACUCACUUUCCCGGCUACUCCCCACGAAGUACAACUAAAUGCCUUGCAGCUAGUUCAGCAGACAGUGGGGAAAGGCUCUGAGCUGGAAAGGAGGUGGGCUGACUGGGGACUCCGGCACGGGAGGAACAGCCAUGGGAUGGGUCCCUGGGGUUUCUCUUUCUUGCUUACAGGUUCCUGGAAUAGGCGCUAGAGGGGGCUGCAAGCCAGACGUGCCGACAGGCCACUCACGGAGUACAUGAUCACUGCCUCGGCAUCUGUUCUGUAUGGCCCUCUGCCUGCGGGGUCUUGAACUGACAGGAGCCCUCCCUCAAGUGCGUGCCCUAGGUGACAGCCCGCAGAGUCACCAGUAAACCGAAGUUCCUGAUGUUGUGACCCCCCCCAACACCCUUGUGAUAACCUCUCUCCUGUGGGCCCCGUAGAUUAAACCCCUGUGAAGCUCACCAAAGCCCUGCUCCCUCUGGUUUGAGCUGACCUAUCCAGCCUUAGCCCAGGAACCCCAAAGCACAGCCCUGUGGACCUAAUACAGGUGUGUGCCCCGGGUCCUGACUCCUGGGCACUGUGCCUGUACCUCCUCCAGGACCUGUGAGUCAUAAGCUUCUCUGUUCCGCUAUUUCUUGAGGUCUUUGUUGAACCACCAGGCAGCCUGGCCACAUGCCUUCUGACACUGCAGGCAGCACCCACGGGGAUGGAGUGACAACCAGGGCAGCACCAGGAGAAUGGAGCAGACAGGAAGGGCAUUGCAAGGGCCGGGAAAAUAAAACUGUCAUUGGAACCACAGGCCAUAAAAGUAGGCUGGAAUUUACACACUAAACCUAAAUGGGGUGACUUUCUGCUGAAAUAGAAGAUUAAUUUUUUUUUUGAUGUGGACCAUUUUUUAAAGUUUUUAUUGAAUUUGUUACAAUAUUGCUUUUUUUUUUUUUUUUUAAUGUUUUGGUGUUUUGGCCACGAGGCAUGUGGGAUCCUAGAUCCCUGGCCAGGGAUAGAACCUGCACCCCUUGCAUUGGAAGGUGAAGUCUUAACCACUGGACCACCAGGGAAGUCCCUGAAAUAGAAGAUUUAAAUAAAAUCAGGUUUCUUCUAACACAAUAACCAAAAUGUCCAGUAUACAGUAAAAAACCACUGGUCAUACCGAGAACCAAGGAAAACCAUUAUUUGAACAUGAAAAGUGAACUGACGUGAACACCAAGAUAAAUCUUGGAAUUAUCUGACAAGGAUUUUAAAGCAGUCAUAAAAAUGCUUUUAAAAAUAUUUAUGAAUUCUUUUGAAACAAAUGAAAAAUUAGAAAAUCUCAGCAAAGAAGUAGAAGUUGUUAAAAAACCAAAUGAAAAUUACAGAACUGGAAAAUACAAUAACCAAAUUAACGUUGUGUCCAUCACCGGACACAGUGAUCACUUCACCCCUGGAUGGACAUGAUAAUAAAGUGGAGGUGACAGGAAAGAAUCAGGAAACUCAAAAGGUAGAGCAAUAGAAUCUGCUCAGUCUAAGCACCAGAGAGAAAUAGACUGAAAAAGAAAAGUGCACGGAGCCUCAGAUCCACAGGACAAUCAUUUUUAUCACCAGAGUCCCAGAACAGGAGGAGGGAGAAUGUGGGCUGAAAAAGUGUUUGAAGAAAUAAUGGCUGAAAACUUCCCAAAUUUGGUGAAAGACAUAAACCCAUAGAUACAAGAAGCUAAGGAAUCCCUAUGUAGGAUAAGCCUUCUAAAAAUCCAUACUAAGAAACAUCAUAAUUAAAUCUCUGAGGACUAAAAACAGAAAAAAAAUGUAAAAACAGCCAGAGAGAAAUGAUGUGUUUCCUAGAGAGGAACGCCAGUGUGAAUGACAGAUUUCUUAUCUGAAAUCACAGCAGCCGGAAGGAAGUGGCAUAUUUUUUAUAUCUGAUGGUUGAAGCAAAAACUAUAAUACUGGGACUUCCCUGGUGGUGCAGUGGUUAAGAAUCUGCCUGCAAAUGCAGGGAACACGGGUUCAAUCUCUGGUCUGGGAAGACCCCACAUGCCGCGGACCAACUAAGCCUGUGCACUGUAACUAUUGAGCCUGCACUCUAGAGCCCGUGUGCCACAACUACUGAGCCCAAGCGCCUAGAACCUGUGCUCCGCAACAAGAGAAGCCACCGCAAUGAGAAGCCCACACACCACAACAAAGAGUAGACCCUGCUCGCUGCAACUAGAGAAAAGCCCGCAUGCAGCAACAAAGACCCAAUGCAGCCAAAAAUAAAUAAAUAAAUUUAUAUUAAAAAAAAUUAUAAUACUGAUGAGCUCGGUGCACACGGGGGAAAUAUUUACAAUAAUUAUAUUUGAAAAGUGAGGACGGUAAAGGGAGGUUUCUACGCUGCACUAGAUUUGGUGAAACAUCGGUACCAGUAAACUGAUAAUUACAUACAUGCACGGGAGUGUGUAGAACAGCCACUAAGAAAAGUAAACAGUGAUAUACUCAAUACGUUAUAAAGUGGAAUUCUAAAGAUAUUCCAAGUAUCCCACAAUAUGGCACGAGGAAACAAACACAAAUAAUAAAAUGUCAAACUUAACCUCUAAUUAUCAAUAGUUCAAAUGUAAAGGGCCCAUACACACCAGUUAGAAGACAAAGAUUUGCAGAGGGAAUAAAAAACCACGACCGAACUAUAUGUCAUUUACCGUAUGCUAAAACUCACUUCAAACGUAAUGAUGUGGGUAGGUUGAAAGAAAAAGGAAAAAGAUAUCAUGUAAACAUUCAUUUAUAAAAAGCACGAUGACUAAUAGCUAAUUUCUCUUCAGAGCAAGGGAAAUUUCUACAGAAAAAGAGGUCCAUUGUAUAAGAAUAAAAGUGUCAAUCCACCAGGAAGAUACAUAGCAAUCGCAAAUGUUUAUGACCCAAACAACAGACCUUCAAGAUACACGAAGCAAACACUGGCAGAGCUGAAAGGAGAGAGACCAACCCCCAGUUACAGGUGAGGACCUCAGCACGCACUCUCCACAACUGCUGGAACUACUAGACAUUCCACAAGGACACAGAACACCAUCAACCAAAGGGAUCAGUGGACAUUUACAGACCCUCCACCCAACAGAGCAGGAUGCCCGUUGUUCACAGGUGCCCAGGAACGUGCCAGGAUAGACCGUAUCCAUAAGACAGACCUCAGCAAAUGUAAAGGAAGUGAAGUCACAGCAUGUUCUCUGACAAAAAAUGGAAUCAAACUAAAAGUCAGUAACAGACAGACAAUCUUCAAACAUGGAAAUUAACUCGGUUCUACUCAGAAAUAGAGAGGAAGGAACUAUUGCUACAUGCAAGACCUUGGAUGCAUCGCUAGGGGAUUAUGCUGAGUAAAAGAAGACAAUCAUAACAAGAUAGCGAUAGUGUGAUUCCAUGUGUAUAACAUGCG